This is a long non-coding RNA of Mesocricetus auratus (golden hamster), 1289 nucleotides long. RefSeq lists it as uncharacterized. The record is from RefSeq and is a predicted model, not a curated record. NCBI's taxonomy places the organism in Eukaryota, Metazoa, Chordata, Mammalia, Rodentia, Cricetidae. The transcript is spliced from 2 exons.
CAGCAGACGAGUCCAGGUUGCAAUUCCACCCCCGGGUGUUAGCCUUAGGGCAGCCAGCUUGCGGCUCAGCUCGCUUAGCCACACCCACCCCUGCGUGUUUUCUGGGGUCUGACUCCCUGGAGAAGCAGACCCCAGCCUGAUGCAGCCCCCACACGACGGAGCGGCAGCCAAGUGUCCCACACACGGUGCUUCCUUCUGCAACCUGCCUCUUCGGUGCCGCCACACUGCGCUCCUGGCCGCCCCCUCGUGAACUGCAGGACUGCCAGGAAACAGGGGAAAAUAUUUCCAGAUCUGAGUAGCUGCUGGGCCGGACUCGGCAUCUAUGAAUCCUUCGUUAUGUGACCUUAGCCGCAUCCGCUAAGCUGCUGCCAGGCUAGAUUGCAGAAACGACCUCAAAGCAAAGAUGUUGGAAAAAAAAGAAUCAAGAGGUCUGAAAUUUGCCCCAUCAAGUCUUUUGAAACCAAACUGUCCACAUUUUUAAGGGUUUGACGUAAUAACAUUCCCAAGUAAGACUACAUUUUGAAAAACAAGGAUUGUUGUUGUGUGUGUGUGAGUGCUUGGUGUGUGUGUGUGGUGUGUGUGUGUAUGUGUGUGUGUGUAUAUGUGUGUGUGUGUGUGUGUGUGUGUGUGUGUGUGUGUGUAGGAAUGUGAGAGGUUCCGCAUAGUCCUUAGGAAAUCAACUUUGAGGCUGGAAAUUUGAGAUGCGUGGACAGAGCGGACCACGAGGCUGCACUUGCCCCAGUGAACUCACGUGGUGUUGAGACUGCCUGGAGUUGUCUGGAAGUUAAAUGCUAGGCUCUGGAAAGGGCUGGCCGGGAGAGCCGGCUGCUGUUACUCUAAGUGCACCGCUGGCAGCGUUCUAUUUAAAGUCCUCAUGCCUGGUACUUGAGCGCCGCUGGUUCUCCGGUGGGUGCCCUGGAACCCUGGGCUUCUUAUCCAGCAUCAGACGGCGUCACUCGUCGGCAUGCUGACCGGGAAGGAAAGACCAUUAUAGAAACAGCAGGGCCACGUCUUUUGCCUCUGCUGCCGAAACUGGUCUCGUGUGAAGACUAGAGGAUCCUACAAAGGGUGCUGGGGUUUGGGACAGAAGGGCCAGGAGACUGGAUGAAGAAUGCCCCGAUUGUCACACCAGAGAGAAAGCUGCACACGCUCACCCAGUGCCCUGCAUCUCAGCAUGCUUACCCAGAUAAACCCAGGCCUAGAGCCUUCCGAGGCCUCUGGAGAAGCAGAUCUCAAGAAAGGAAGGAGACCCCGAAGUGACCCUGAAAAUAAAGGCCUUUGUCCUCAAA